UGCCUACGGGACGCAGCAGUGGGGAAUAUUGCACAAUGGGGGAAACCCUGAUGCAGCGACGCCGCGUGAGUGAAGAAGUAUUUCGGUAUGUAAAGCUCUAUCAGCAGGGAAGAUAAUGACGGUACCUGACUAAGAAGCCCCGGCUAACUACGUGCCAGCAGCCGCGGUAAUACGUAGGGGGCAAGCGUUAUCCGGAAUUAUUGGGUGUAAAGGGUGCGUAGACGGAAGAACAAGUUGGUCGUGAAAUCCCUCGGCUCAACUGAGGAACUGCAACCAAAACUAUUCUCCUUGAGUGUCGGAGAGGA
Molecule: ribosomal RNA, 305 nt
Filed under: uncultured bacterium
Lineage: Bacteria
Description: bacterial SSU rRNA
Rfam family: Bacterial small subunit ribosomal RNA
Source: RNAcentral